Molecule: long non-coding RNA, 1001 nt
Organism: Dioscorea cayenensis subsp. rotundata (Guinea yam)
Lineage: Eukaryota; Viridiplantae; Streptophyta; Magnoliopsida; Dioscoreales; Dioscoreaceae
Exons: 3
Source: RefSeq, a predicted model, not a curated record
UGCAUCCAAAAAUUUCCAUUCUAAGUUAAAAAAUCUGAACUUUUAUUCAUUUAUUGUGGAUACUUUGCGUCAAAGUUUGAAUUUUUACCCAAAUGAUUGUUGGUCUGGAGUCGGAGAAUUCAAGAGAUGGGCAAUCUGAAUGCUUGGUCAAAGUUUGGAUUUUUAUCCAAUUUGAGGGGUUUUUGUGCUGGGGUUUGGAGCAUUCAAGGUCUGUUCAUUGUCUCUCUAAGAUCUAACAAUGUUUAUUUUUUCCUUGUCAGGCUUCUUCCGUUCAUCUCCAAUGCUUUCAAUGGCAUGCCUCUUGGUCAGAUGAAUUAGUAAAGUUUUGAUUUUGGUAUGUUUUUCAUUAGCCUUUGAAGAAAAGUAAAGAAAGGUUUUCAAGGUUCUGUAUUUCAUUGAUGUAGAGAGGUACAUAUAUACACAUAUGAUAGGCUUGCUUGUAGCCUUGAUUUACAAAUCAUAGGAGCAGAUUUACAAGAGUUAAUUUGCUGAUUUGCAGGGAAUGAUAUAGCUGUUAAAUUGCUUCAUUGGUGACCAUUAAUCUUGGUCAUUGAUUGGGUGAUUUGGUUGAAGAUAUGAUGUUGGAGUUCUCCUCUAAUCUAGGAGAGAUUUCCUCCUUUAUAGCCCCAAAGUUUAGAGCUUGGGUUGAUAAUAGUAUCUUACCUUCAAAUGGAGAUUCAAAGGCUGAUCUUGCACUGAUCCUUUCAGAGAUGGAAGAGGAAUUGCAGAGCUUGAUGUUCUCAGAAUCAUCGGUAAAAUUAAGAACAAGCAAGGUCAUUAUCAUGCGCCUUGUUUUGCUUUUUCAUUCUUUAAUGGUGAUGCCCUCUCGUUUGACUCUUCAGAGAGCAAGGCAUGCAUCUUAGUGCUGAUGCUUCUUCUGCCUAGCAUUUAAAUGUUACAGUGAUUCCCUUAAAGCUUGAGUGUUUGAAGUUGACCCUUGGAAGCUUUAGUUUUAAUCUUUGUACCUUUGGAUAGAAGGCUGCAAAUUUAAAGACAUUCAA